GAUGAAGAACGUAGCUAAAUGCGAUAAGUAGUGUGAAUUGCAGAAUUCAGUGAAUCAUCGAAUCUUUGAACGCACAUUGCGCCCCUUGGUAUUCCAUGGGGCAUGCCUGUUCGAGCGUCAUUUGUACCUUCAAGCUCUGCUUGGUGUUGGGUGUUUGUCUCGCCUCUGCGUGUAGACUCGCCUCAAAACAAUUGGCAGCCGGCGUAUUGAUUUCGGAGCGCAGUACAUCUCGCGCUUUGCACUCAUAACGACGACGUCCAAAAGUACAUUUUUAUACUCUUGACCUCGGAUCAGGUAGGGAUACCCGCUGAACUUAAGCAUAUCAAUAAGCGGAGGA
This 337-nucleotide unclassified non-coding RNA is filed under the name soil metagenome. Its description in RNAcentral is "partial contains 5.8S ribosomal RNA, internal transcribed spacer 2, and large subunit ribosomal RNA". The stretch from base 1 to 120 matches the Rfam family "5.8S ribosomal RNA", at positions 35 to 154 of the family's 154-position model. The record is from RNAcentral.